RNAcentral lists this ribosomal RNA (468 nucleotides) under uncultured bacterium. Its description in RNAcentral is "partial 16S ribosomal RNA". It matches the Rfam family "Bacterial small subunit ribosomal RNA", at positions 28 to 507 of the family's 1533-position model. The record is from RNAcentral.
GGCGAACGCUGGCGGCGUGCUUAACACAUGCAAGUCGAACGGAAAGGCCCUGCUUUUGUGGGGUGCUCGAGUGGCGAACGGGUGAGUAACACGUGAGUAACCUGCCCUUGACUUUGGGAUAACUUCAGGAAACUGGGGCUAAUACCGGAUAGGAGCUCCUGCUGCAUGGUGGGGGUUGGAAAGUUUCGGCGGUUGGGGAUGGACUCGCGGCUUAUCAGCUUGUUGGUGGGGUAGUGGCUUACCAAGGCUUUGACGGGUAGCCGGCCUGAGAGGGUGACCGGCCACAUUGGGACUGAGAUACGGCCCAGACUCCUACGGGAGGCAGCAGUGGGGAAUAUUGCACAAUGGGCGGAAGCCUGAUGCAGCAACGCCGCGUGCGGGAUGACGGCCUUCGGGUUGUAAACCGCUUUCGCCUGUGACGAAGAGUGAGUGACGGUAAUGGGUAAAGAAGCACCGGCUAACUACGUG